AACGCAUAUUGCGCCCUCUGGUAUUCCGGGGGGCAUGCCUGUUCGAGCGUCAUUAUCACCCCUCAAGCCCGGCUUGUUGUUGGAUGUCGGCGGUCGCCUCUGCGCCCCGCCCGUCUCAAAGAUAAUGACGGCGUCUGUGAGGACUCCUGUACACUGAGCUUUCGGGCACGUACACGGUUAAGUCUCUCCAGGCCCGGUCUCCGUCGCUUCGGCGACAAAUUAACAAGGUUGACCUCGGAUCAGGUAGGAAUACCCGCUGAACUUAA
This 266-nucleotide unclassified non-coding RNA is filed under the name uncultured fungus. Its description in RNAcentral is "partial contains 5.8S ribosomal RNA, internal transcribed spacer 2, and large subunit ribosomal RNA". The stretch from base 1 to 52 matches the Rfam family "5.8S ribosomal RNA", at positions 103 to 154 of the family's 154-position model. The record is from RNAcentral. Lineage: Eukaryota; Fungi.